AGAUUGAACGCUGGCGGCAUGCCUUACACAUGCAAGUCGAACGGCAGCACGGGAGCAAUCCUGGUGGCGAGUGGCGAACGGGUGAGUAAUACAUCGGAACGUGCCCAAUCGUGGGGGGAUAACGCAGCGAAAGCUGUGCUAAUACCGCAUAAGAUCUACGGAUGAAAGCAGGGGAUCGCAAGACCUUGCGCGAAUGGAGCGGCCGAUGGCAGAUUAGGUAGUUGGUGAGGUAAAGGCUCACCAAGCCUUCGAUCUGUAGCUGGUCUGAGAGGACGACCAGCCACACUGGGACUGAGACACGGUCCAGACUCCUACGGGAGGCAGCAGUGGGGAAUUUUGGACAAUGGGCGAAAGCCUGAUCCAGCAAUGCCGCGUGCAGAUGAAGGCCUUGGUGUAACUGCUUUGUACGAACGAAACGUUACGUCUACUAAUACAGGGCGUAAGUAGACGGUACCGUAAGAAUAAGACACCGACUAACUACGU
Molecule: ribosomal RNA, 483 nt
Filed under: uncultured soil bacterium
Lineage: Bacteria
Description: bacterial SSU rRNA
Rfam family: Bacterial small subunit ribosomal RNA
Source: RNAcentral